UUAGUUCUGCAAUAUUCGUGAUCUUAUAUUGAAGAAGAACUGCCAAUUUUGAGGGAAUCGAGCCAUUGGUAGCGCUCAAGCCGUCGUUGUUACGGAUCAGCAAAGCUAAAAAGGUAGAUGCCCACCUUGAACAUAGUUCUCGGAUUCAAUCUUGGACACGGUAUUGCGGAACCUCU
Molecule: non-coding RNA, 176 nt
Filed under: bacterium
Lineage: Bacteria
Description: 6S RNA
Rfam family: 6S / SsrS RNA
About the family: E. coli 6S RNA was the first non coding RNA to be sequenced, but its function was unknown until recently. It consists of 184 nucleotides that fold into an extended hairpin structure with a large single-stranded internal bulge.
Source: RNAcentral